CCUACGGGAGGCAGCAGUGGGGAAUAUUGGACAAUGGACCAAAAGUCUGAUCCAGCAAUUCUGUGUGCACGAUGACGUUUUUCGGAAUGUAAAGUGCUUUCAGUUGGGAAGAAAAAAAUGACGGUACCAACAGAAGAAGUGACGGCUAAAUACGUGCCAGCAGCCGCGGUAAUACGUAUGUCACAAGCGUUAUCCGGAUUUAUUGGGCGUAAAGCGCGUCUAGGUGGUUAUGUAAGUCUGAUGUGAAAAUGCAGGGCUCAACUCUGUAUUGCGUUGGAAACUGCAUGACUAGAGUACUGGAGAGGUAAGCGGAACUACAAGUGUAGAGGUGAAAUUCGUAGAUAUUUGUAGGAAUGCCGAUGGGGAAGCCAGCUUACUGGACAGAUACUGACGCUAAAGCGCGAAAGCGUGGGUAGCAAACAGGAUUAGAUACCCUGGUAGUC
Molecule: ribosomal RNA, 443 nt
Filed under: uncultured Fusobacterium sp.
Lineage: Bacteria; Fusobacteriati; Fusobacteriota; Fusobacteriia; Fusobacteriales; Fusobacteriaceae
Description: bacterial SSU rRNA
Rfam family: Bacterial small subunit ribosomal RNA
Source: RNAcentral